UGAGGAAUAUUGGUCAAUGGGCGCAAGCCUGAACCAGCCAUGCCGCGUGCAGGAAGACGGUCCUAUGGAUUGUAAACUGCUUUUAUUAGGGAAUAAACCUCCGGACGUGUCCGGAGCUGAAGGUACCUAAUGAAUAAGCACCGGCUAACUCCGUGCCAGCAGCCGCGGUAAUACGGAGGGUGCAAGCGUUAUCCGGAAUCAUUGGGUUUAAAGGGUCCGCAGGCGGAUUUAUAAGUCAGUGGUGAAAGCCCGUCGCUUAACGACGGAACUGCCAUUGAUACUGUAAGUCUUGAAUUCGAUCGAAGUGGGCGGAAUAUGACAUGUAGCGGUGAAAUGCUUAGAUAUGUCAUAGAACACCGAUAGCGAAGGCAGCUCACUAGGUCUGGAUUGACGCUCAGGGACGAAAGCGUGGGGAGCAAACAG
This 423-nucleotide ribosomal RNA is filed under the name uncultured bacterium. RNAcentral's name for it is "bacterial SSU rRNA". It matches the Rfam family "Bacterial small subunit ribosomal RNA", at positions 355 to 775 of the family's 1533-position model. The record is from RNAcentral.